This 1468-nucleotide long non-coding RNA is filed under the name Sus scrofa (pig). RNAcentral's name for it is "lncRNA (ENSSSCG00015027984.1)". The record is from RNAcentral. Lineage: Eukaryota; Metazoa; Chordata; Mammalia; Artiodactyla; Suidae.
UCCCACCUAGUGCUUCCCCCCACCCCCAGUCUCAGUGGGUACUGAAUGCACAGCCUGAGGAGGACUGGGGUCUCCCUGCCCACGUGGGGGAGGAGCCUCCCUCUCCGAUGUGGGUUCUGUGUGCAGGGAGUCACUGACUUUGCCCCUAGGUCCCUGCUCUGCCCAUCCUCCCAGUGCUGAGCAUCUUUCUGAAUGUCUACCUGAUGAUGCAGCUGUCCUCUGUGAUUUGGGCCGAGUUUGGCAUCUGGAAUGCUGUUGGAUUUGCCAUAUACUUUGGAUAUGGGAUCCGACACAGCUUGGAGGAGAAGAGGGAUCCACAGCUACCAGCCUCCACCUCCCAGACUCUGCAUGAACACACCCCUGGUGCUGAAUCCUCUUAGCCACAGGAAGAAGAUGCUGUGUGUUUCCCUGCAAACCCUGCAUGUGUUUUCUUGUUCAAGCGACACCGUGAUCUUCUGUGGUGUGUGAGUGGGUUGCAUUUAGAGCCCUGUUUUCAUUGACAGUGGACAAAAUCAUUUUAAUAUUGUGUAAUUUUUUUUUUUUUGUCUUUUUGCUAUUUCUUGGGCCACUCCCGCGGCAUAUGGAGUUUCCCAGGCUAGGGGUCUAAUCGGAGCUGUAGCCACCAGCCUACGCCAGAGCCACAGCAACUCGGAAUCCAAGCCGCGUCUGCAACCUACACCACAGCUCUUGGCAACGCCGGAUCGUUAACCCACUGAGCAAGGGCAGGGACCGAACCCACAACCUCAUGGUUCCUAGUCGGAUUCGUUAACCACUGCGCCACGUCGGGAACUCCAUUAUUGUAUAAUUUUUAACUAAACUUUUCUUUCUUUUUCUUUCUUUCCUUCUCUCUUUCCUCUUUCCUUUCAUCUUCCUCUCUCUCUCUCUUUCUUUGUUUCUUUCUUUCCUUUCAAGGGUCACACCUAGGGGAUAUGGAUAUUCCCAGGCUAGGGGUGGAAUCGGUGCUAUAGCUGCCAAACUACACCACAGCCACAGUAAAAUGAGAUACAAACCACAUCUAUCACUUACUCGGCAGCUCAUGGCAACACUGGAUCCAUAACUCACUGCGUGAGGCCAGGGAUUGAACCUGCGUCGUCAUGGAUGCUAGUCAGAUUUGUUUCUGCUGAGCCCGGCCGGGAACUCCUGUAGAUUUAUUAAUGAUGGCCAUUCAGACCGGUUUGAGGUGGUACCUUCCUGUAGUUUUGAUUUGCAUUUCUCGAAUAAUUGGUGAUUAGUGAGCAUUUUUUCAUGUGCCUGUUGGAAAUCCCUAUGUCUUCUUUGGAGAACUGUCUAUUUAGGUCAUCUGCCCAUUUAUUUAAUUGGGCUGUUUGCUUUUUUUGCUGUUGAGGUGUAUGAGGUUUUUGUCUCUUUUAGAGAUGAAGCCCUCUUUAGUGGCAUUGUUUGAACUCUUUUCUCCCAUUCUGUACAUUGUCUAUUUUUUUAAUGGUUUCCUUUGCCUUGCAAAAGCCAC